AUUGAACGCUGGCGGCAGGCUUAACACAUGCAAGUCGAGCGGUAACAGAGAGAAGCUUGCUUCUCUGCUGACGAGCGGCGGACGGGUGAGUAAUGCCUAGGAAUCUGCCUAGUAGUGGGGGAUAACUUGCCGAAAGGUAAGCUAAUACCGCAUACGUCCUACGGGAGAAAGGAGGGGACCUUCGGGCCUUUCGCUAUUAGAAGAGCCUAGGUCGGAUUAGUUAGUUGGUGAGGUAAUGGCUCACCAAGACCGCGAUCCGUAACUGGUCUGAGAGGAUGAUCAGUCACACUGGAACUGAGACGCGGUCCAGACUCCUACGGGAGGCAGCAGUGGGGAAUAUUGGACAAUGGGGGGAACCCUGAUCCAGCCAUGCCGCGUGUGUGAAGAAGGUCUUAGGAUUGUAAAGCACUUUAAGUUGGGAGGAAGAGCAGUUAACUAAUAUUUGACUGUUUUGACGUUACCGACAGAAUAGGCACCGGCUAACUUCGUGCCAGCCGCCGCCGUAA
This 506-nucleotide ribosomal RNA is filed under the name uncultured bacterium. Its description in RNAcentral is "partial 16S ribosomal RNA". It matches the Rfam family "Bacterial small subunit ribosomal RNA", at positions 30 to 523 of the family's 1533-position model. The record is from RNAcentral.